UACAGAGGGUGCGAGCGUUAAUCGGAAUUACUGGGCGUAAAGCGUGCGUAGACGGUAGCGUAAGUCAGAUGUGAAAGCCCCGGGCUCAACCUGGGAAUUGCAUUUGAGACUGCUCUGCUCGGGUGCGGAAGAGGGAAGCGGAAUUUCCGGUGUAGCGGUGAAAUGCGUAGAUAUUACCAGGAACACCAAUGGCAAAGGCAGCUUGCUGGGCCACUCCUGACACUGAGGUACGAAAGCGUGGGGAGCGAACAGG
Molecule: ribosomal RNA, 253 nt
Filed under: uncultured bacterium
Lineage: Bacteria
Description: partial 16S ribosomal RNA
Rfam family: Bacterial small subunit ribosomal RNA
Source: RNAcentral